UCUGGUGACCAUAGUUGCAGUGACCCACCCGUUCCCAUACCGAACACGGAAGUGAAACCUGUAUGCGCCGACAAUACUCGAGGGGCAACCCUCCGGGAAGAUAGGUCGUCGCCAGAA
Molecule: ribosomal RNA, 117 nt
Filed under: Chthonomonadaceae bacterium
Lineage: Bacteria; Bacillati; Armatimonadota; Chthonomonadia; Chthonomonadales; Chthonomonadaceae
Source: RNAcentral